RNAcentral lists this ribosomal RNA (465 nucleotides) under uncultured bacterium. Its description in RNAcentral is "partial 16S ribosomal RNA". It matches the Rfam family "Bacterial small subunit ribosomal RNA", at positions 338 to 795 of the family's 1533-position model. The record is from RNAcentral.
CCUACGGGUGGCAGCAGUGGGGAAUAUUGCGCAAUGGGCGCAAGCCUGACGCAGCGACGCCGCGUGUGUGAUGAAGGUCUUCGGAUCGUACACCUCUGUCAGCCGGGAGGAACGGUCACUGUGUUAAUCAGCAGUGAAUUGACGGUACCUGCAAAAGAAGCACCGGCUAACUCCGUGCCAGCAGCCGCGGUAAUACGGAGGGUGCGAGCGUUAAUCGGAAUUACUGGGCGUAAAGCGCUCGUAGGCGGUAGAUCGAGUCACAUGUGAAAUCCCCGGGCUUAACGCGGGAACUGCAUUUGAGACGGGCAAACUGGAGUGUGUGAGAGGAGAGUGGAAUUGCAGGUGUAGGGGUGAAAUCCGUAGAGAUGUGGAGGAACACCAGUGGCGAAGGCGACUACCUGGCACAAGACUGACGCUGAGGUGCGAAAGCGUGGGGAGCAAACAGGAUUAGAUACCCGAGUAGUC